GAUGAAGAACGUAGCGAAAUGCGAUAAGUAGUGUGAAUUGCAGAAUUCAGUGAAUCAUCGAAUCUUUGAACGCACAUUGCGCCCCUUGGUAUUCCGGGGGGCAUGCCUGUUCGAGCGUCAUUAUAACCCCUCAAGCUCAGCUUGGUGUUGGGGCCUGCCGACUGGCAGCCCUUAAAAUCAGUGGCGGCGCCAUCUGGCUCUAAGCGUAGUAAUUUCUCUCGCUAUAGAGUCCCGGUGGAUGCUUGCCAGCAACCCCCAACUUUCUAUGGUUGACCUCGGAUCAGGUAGGGAUACCCGCUGAACUUAAGCAUAUCAAUAAGCGGAGGA
Molecule: unclassified non-coding RNA, 327 nt
Filed under: soil metagenome
Description: partial contains 5.8S ribosomal RNA, internal transcribed spacer 2, and large subunit ribosomal RNA
Rfam family: 5.8S ribosomal RNA (bases 1-120)
Source: RNAcentral